RNAcentral lists this ribosomal RNA (396 nucleotides) under uncultured bacterium. RNAcentral's name for it is "partial 16S ribosomal RNA". It matches the Rfam family "Bacterial small subunit ribosomal RNA", at positions 523 to 918 of the family's 1533-position model. The record is from RNAcentral.
CUACGAAGGGUGCAAGCGUUAAUCGGAAUUACUGGGCGUAACGCGCGCGUAGGUGGUUUUGUAAGUUGGAGGUGAAAGCCCCGGGCUCAACCUGGGAAUUGCCUCCAAAACUGCAUGACUAGAGUACGGUAGAGGGUAGUGGAAUUUCCUGUGUAGUGGUGAAAUGCGUAGAUAUAGGAAGGAACACCAGUGGCGAAGGCGACUACCUGGACGGAUACUGACACUGAGGGGCGAAAGCGUGGGGAGCAAACAGGAUUAGAUCCCCUGGUAGUCCACGCCGUAAACGAUGUCAACUAGCCGUUGGGAUCCUUGAGAUCUUAGUGGCGCAGCUAACGCAUUAAGUUGACCGCCUGGGGAGUACGGCCGCAAGGUUAAAACUCAAAUGAAUUGACGGGG